AGAGCGAACGCUGGCGGCAGGCCUAACACAUGCAAGUCGAACGGACCCUUCGGGGUUAGUGGCGGACGGGUGAGUAACACGUGGGAACGUGCCUUUUGGUUCGGAAUAGCUCCUGGAAACGGGUGGUAAUGCCGAAUGUGCCCUUCGGGGGAAAGAUUUAUCGCCAUUAGAGCGGCCCGCGUCUGAUUAGCUAGUUGGUGAGGUAAUGGCUCACCAAGGCGACGAUCAGUAGCUGGUCUGAGAGGAUGACCAGCCACAUUGGGACUGAGACACGGCCCAAACUCCUACGGGAGGCAGCAGUGGGGAAUCUUGCGCAAUGGGCGAAAGCCUGACGCAGCCAUGCCGCGUGAAUGAUGAAGGUCUUAGGAUUGUAAAAUUCUUUCACCGGGGACGAUAAUGACGGUACCCGGAGAAGAAGCCCCGGACUAACGUUCGCGCCAGCAGCCGC
This 448-nucleotide ribosomal RNA is filed under the name uncultured soil bacterium. Its description in RNAcentral is "bacterial SSU rRNA". It matches the Rfam family "Bacterial small subunit ribosomal RNA", at positions 26 to 518 of the family's 1533-position model. The record is from RNAcentral.